UAUGUUUUCACCAUUUUAUUUUUACUUAUUUUAGUUUAUUUAUUUAUUUAAAAAAAAGGUUAAUUUCAUACAGAUUCCAAUAAAUAUAGUGAAUUACAAAUAUAUCCCUGUAAAAUUCAAAUUUCACAUAUUAUCCCUAUAAAGUCUUAGGGCGUGUUUGGUUCGAAGUCGGAAUUAGAAUCGAAAUUGUAAUCAAAAUAAGCUGGAAUCGAAAUCGGAAUGACUCAUUACCUAAUUCUGUUUGGUUCAUUACCUGAAUUGGAAUUGGAAUAAAUUAUUCUCAUUGUAAGUGUUUGAUUCAGGUGGAUAUAAAAAACGUAAUCAAAUUAAUAUACUAAUAUUAUCUUUAUAACCUAUUAAUUUAAAUUCAAAUUAAAAAUUAAAUAUUAAAAAUUUACAUCAAAAUUUUAAAAUAAUGUCAAAAUUUUAAAUCUAUUUUUUUUAAAAAAAAUUAAACUUUGAAGUUGAGUGGAUAAUUCAAAAUAUGAAACUAAAAUUUGAUUUAUCCAAAUUCAAACUUAAAAUUAUAAUUUAAAUUUUAAUUUGAAUCCAUAAAUUUAAUUUAAAUUUGAAAUAAAAUUUGAAUAAAACUUUAUAUAAAUUAAAAUUUAAUUUAAAUUCAAAUUCAUAAGUUAGAUUCGAAAUACUUGAUUAAAUUUUAAAUUUUAAUUUAAGUUUAAAUUAAAAUUUAAAAUUAUAUAUUUAAUUUUAAAAUUUUAACUCAUAUUUUAAUUAAAAAAGUUGAAAAAAUAAAUUUAAUCCGAAAAAAUAUCCAUUCCGUCCGGAUUCAACUUUCAAUCCGACUUUUUAGGCCGGAUUGAAAAAAGAGGUUAUUGGGAGAUUUCCAUUCCACUCGGGAAUGGGAAUCGGAAUGGGACUCCCGCGUACCAAACACCUGCAAACGGAUUCGCCCAUUCCGAUUCCGAUUUCAGGGUGUAAAAGAAGCGAACCAAACACGCCCUUAAUAUUUUCAAAUAUAGUCCUGUUAUUUUAACCCUAGUUAGUUAAUGAGCGAACCAAACACGCCCUUAAUGUUUUCAAAUAUAGUCCUGUUAUUUUAACCCUAGUUAGUUAAUGAGAUGAAUUGACCUUUUUACCCUUAUUUAAUUAAGGGUUGUGACUUUUGGAGGGACAUAUUUGUGAUGCCAAAAAAGUCAUUUCACUUAUAAAAUAAACAGUGCUUUAACGGUAACAAAUCGGAGGAAUAUAUUUGAAAAUACUAGGACUUUCGUAGGGUAAUAUAUGAAAGUUGAACCUUGUGGAGAUAUAUUUACAAUUUGCGAUAUUUGUAGGGACCUGUAUGAAACUAACCUUAAAAAAAAAGCAUGGCCAAUUUGCAUAAAAAAUUCAUAAAUUUUGAGCUUUUGCAAAACUGGGCCGCCUUUUUUGAUUUUACAAAUUCGGUCCGAAUUUUCAGCAAACUGACAAAAAUAUCCUUAUUACUUUUUCUCUCUCAUCCUUUCUCUCUCCUUUUUUUUCUCUAGUUAAUUUUUUUUUCUCUCGCCGAAAAAGGAAAUGGAGGCACAAGCGGAAGCGGAAACGGCCCGCCUCGUCUCUCACCCUCAUGCCCUCGUCCUCACACGCGCCCGCACCCUCGCCCGCGCCCGUGCCUGCGCACCCCCCACCUUCCUCACCUCCGACUUUGCUGAGACCGCAUUGCAUCUCUUUUUUUUUUUCCCUCUCCGCCCUUCCUUCACCGUCUCCAACAACAAUGCAUCUCUUGCCCUCUCUCGCCUUUCCCCGCCCUUCUCGUCCUCUCCCUUUCCUUUCUCCUUCCCCGUCUCCGACGACGACGCAUAUUCACUGACGCCGUGGAGGUCGCUGCAGCACCGCAACUUCGGAGCGAGGGAUCCUUAGCGGCAUCGUCGCUGGCGCCGCGGUCGCCGGCAGAGAGGGAUGAUAAAAAAAAAAAUUAUAAAAAAAGAAGAAAAAAUAAAGACAAAGAAUUAUAGGAAAAAAAAAGAUAAAGAUGAAAUUACGCCGUUAAAAUAAAAUUGCACUAUUUUAAAAGAACAUUGCGCUAUUACGAAUAUAAGUUGCAUUACUUAAGAUGUAAAUUGCAUCCUUUAAGAUAAAAAUUAUACUCUUUAAAUAAAAAUUACACUCUUUGAAAGAUAUUUACACUGUUUCUCCUCUUAUUGCACUCUUUGAGAUGUAAAUUGCAUCCUUUAAGAUAAAAAUUAUACUCUUUAAAAAAUAAAUUUCACUUUUUGAAAGAUAUUUAUACUAUUUAUCCUCAAGGGUGCAUGUGGUUUGAGUUAUCCUAGCAGGAUUAUAGGUAAUCCUGCUAGGAUUACUGUAUUUGUAAUGUAGCAUUACAAAUCGAGCAGGAUUAUACCGAAAAUAUUAACGAGAGAGCGGUCGUGUAUCUUGCAUUACCGAAACCCGUUAAUACUAUAUAUUAUAUAAAAUGACAAUUUUACACUCCAACAACCCCAAAUCUAAUUGACAGCAUUAUUUUCAUCUCUCUCUCGCCUUCCUCCGGCCCUUUCUCUCCCACGCCGCUUUCCCUCGCUCUCUCUCUCUCGACGUCUCUCUCUCUCUCUCUUUCUCUCAAUCUCUCGCACGAACACCUAUCAUCUUCUAUUGUGUCGUCCUCCCAAGUAAUCAUUACGAUCUUCUUCUCUCCAUUCGUCAUUUCCGAAAAAAAUAAUAUUCAAAUAACCACAACAAGGGCAAUUUUGAAAAAAACUAUACUUUUAUGUCAGGAUUACUAAAUUUUAUAAACUGAACCAAAUAUAUUAAUGCUAUAAACACUAUAAUCUAGUAUUACAUUACUGUAUUAAAUUAAACGCUCUAAUGCAGCAUCAGUAAUAAUCUCACGCCGAAAUCCAAAAUACUUGGAUAUGUCGAGAUACUUUAUAAUAUUAUAUAAUUCGAACCAAACGGGCCCUUAAAAGAAUGCUGCGUUAUUACGGAUAUAAGUUGCAUUACUUAAGAUGUAAAUUACUUUCUUUAAUAUGAAAAUUACACUCUUUAAAUAAAAAUUAUACUCUUUGAGAGAUAUUUAUACUAUUUAUUCUCUUAUUGUACUUUUUGAGAAGUAAACUGCACCUUUAUUGGACAAAAUUAUCUAUUUUUUUUUGAAAAAAACCAAAAAUUC
This 3103-nucleotide long non-coding RNA is filed under the name Ananas comosus (pineapple). Its description in RNAcentral is "long non-coding RNA (ACOM_LNC008481)". The record is from RNAcentral. Lineage: Eukaryota; Viridiplantae; Streptophyta; Magnoliopsida; Poales; Bromeliaceae.